Molecule: ribosomal RNA, 301 nt
Filed under: uncultured bacterium
Lineage: Bacteria
Description: partial 16S ribosomal RNA
Rfam family: Bacterial small subunit ribosomal RNA
Source: RNAcentral
CAGCAGCCGCGGUAAUACGUAGGGUGCAAGCGUUAAUCGGAAUUACUGGGCGUAAAGCGUGCGCAGGCGGUUUGUUAAGACAGAUGUGAAAUCCCCGGGCUCAACCUGGGAACUGCAUUUGUGACUGGCAAGCUAGAGUGUGGCAGAGGGGGGUGGAAUUCCGCGUGUAGCAGUGAAAUGCGUAGAUAUGCGGAGGAACACCGAUGGCGAAGGCAGCCCCCUGGGCCAACACUGACGCUCAUGCACGAAAGCGUGGGGAGCAAACGGGAUUAGAUACCCGGGUAGUCCCUGUCUCUUAUAC